Molecule: ribosomal RNA, 428 nt
Filed under: uncultured bacterium
Lineage: Bacteria
Description: bacterial SSU rRNA
Rfam family: Bacterial small subunit ribosomal RNA
Source: RNAcentral
UAGGGAAUCUUCCACAAUGGACGAAAGUCUGAUGGAGCAACGCCGCGUGAGCGAAGAAGGUUUUCGGAUCGUAAAGCUCUGUUGUGAGGGAAGAACAAGUACGGGAGUAACUGCCCGUACCUUGACGGUACCUCAUUAGAAAGCCACGGCUAACUACGUGCCAGCAGCCGCGGUAAUACGUAGGUGGCAAGCGUUGUCCGGAAUUAUUGGGCGUAAAGCGCGCGCAGGCGGUCCUUUAAGUCUGAUGUGAAAGCCCACGGCUCAACCGUGGAGGGUCAUUGGAAACUGGGGGACUUGAGUACAGAAGAGGAAAGCGGAAUUCCACGUGUAGCGGUGAAAUGCGUAGAGAUGUGGAGGAACACCAGUGGCGAAGGCGGCUUUCUGGUCUGUAACUGACGCUGAGGCGCGAAAGCGUGGGGAGCAAACAG